UCCGAGUUGACCCCGGCAGUCUCCGAUGAGUCCCCACCACCCCCCGAAGGGAGCGUGCUGGCAACAUCGAACGAGGGUUGCGCUCGUUGCGGGACUUAACCCAACAUCUCACGACACGAGCUGACGACAACCAUGCACCACCUGUCCACCGACCCAAAGGGGGGCACUGUCUCCAGUGCUUUCCGGUAGAUGUCAAGCCUUGGUAAGGUUCUUCGCGUUGCGUCGAAUUAAGCCACAUGCUCCGCUGCUUGUGCGGGCCCCCGUCAAUUCCUUUGAGUUUUAGCCUUGCGGCCGUACUCCCCAGGCGGGGCACUUAAUGCGUUAGCUGCGGCGCGGACGACGUGGAAUGUCGCCCACACCUAGUGCCCAACGUUUACGGCGUGGACUAC
This 389-nucleotide unclassified non-coding RNA is filed under the name uncultured Actinomycetes bacterium. Its description in RNAcentral is "uncultured actinobacterium contains 16S-23S intergenic spacer region". The record is from RNAcentral. Lineage: Bacteria; Bacillati; Actinomycetota; Actinomycetes.